GAAAGUAUAUUGAGAACAAUCUACGAAUUGUUGAAGGGAUGCAAUUUGAUCGUGGAUAUUUGUCCCCUUACUUUGUCACUGAUCGACGGAAAAUGACAGUAGAGUUCCACAACUGCAAGUUACUUUUGGUUGACAAAAAAAUCGCAAAUCCAAAGGAGAUGUUUAAAAUAUUGGACAAUGCUGUUAAAGAGAAGUACCCCAUCGUGAUAGUUGCAGAGGGCAUUGAGCAGGAAGCUUUGGCUCCAGUUAUUAGGAACAAACUCAAGGGUGUGCUGAAGGCUGUUGCUAUUAAGGCUCCUGCCUUUGGCGAACGCAAGAGCCACUAUUUAGAUGACAUCGCUAUCUUGACAGGAGGCACGGUAAUCAGAGAUGAUAUUGGAUUCACCUUAGAAAAGGCUGGCAAGGAGAUUUUAGGCUCUGCUACCAGGGUAAUGGUAACAAAGGAUUCCUCACUUAUAGUUACUGAUGGUAGCACUCAAGCAGCUGUUGAGGAAAGGGUUUCUGUGAUCCGUAAUCUUGUUGAGGUGCAUUUGCCUUUUACAAAGUUAUCUAAGCAUUAUAUUAUUGUUUAAUCUUUGAAGUUGUCACAGCAUCAAUUAGAGGAAAAUAACAAAUAAAUACAUGCACACAGACUCUGCAAUUUAGAUGGUUUUGACCUUGUCAGUGGGAUGACAAAAUAAAAUUUUCAUUGCAUUAGCAGCUCAAAGUACAGAUAUGCCUUUACCUUUUCAUUGUAAUCACAGAAGCUAAGAAGGAAAAAAGGGAAAACAAAAAAAUUUCUAAACCAGAGUUUAUUAUACCUGAAGAAUGGAAAUUUCAGAGUCUAAGGAACAAGAAUACAUUUGUUCAGAGAACAAACGGGCAUAUCCUGAGUGGUUAAAAUUCUCACCAGUAGGACAGGGUUCAAAUGGAAAUUCAGAGCUUAAACCAUGGCCUAAAACUAUGCAUUAACUAGUUUAUAGCUAGUCUUACUGAGUUAUUUAAUAAACUUGAUGCAUGGUCAGUCUUGCCCAAGAUCACCAGUAAUAUUGUUUGUUGAUUUUCAGAACACUGAAGAAAAAUUUCAAAAGAGAAUACUGAAUGAAAGAAUAGCAAGAUUAUCAGGAGGAAUUGCCAUUCUACAGGUUGGAGCACAAACACAAGUUGAGUUGAAAGAUAAACAACUGAAGAUUGAAGAUGCUUUAAAUGCUACUAAGGCAGCAAUUGAAGAAGGUGUAGUUGUUGGUGGUGGAUGUAGCUUUCUGAGGCUAUCCACAAAGGUGGAUGGUAUUAAAGAGUUGUUGGAUAAUGAAGAACAAAAGGUGUCACUCCUUCCCUCCAAUUUUUAUUUUUAUUUAUUCCCACUUAAAGUGUGGACAUCGUGACCGUACAAAUCUUUUGAUUGAUCAACUUGAAGUGAGCAGUGUACAAAUUUCAUUCUUUAAUGAUUCAUGUUUUUCUUUUACAGAGGCAUCAUACUAUUUUAUUAUAUCUUUUCUUACAUAGUAUAACUUUUUAUCAUAGUUAUUGGCUUGUUCAAUUGUUCACUGGAGUUGUUUUCUCGAGCAAAUUUUCAUGCAGAUUGGAGCUGAGAUCUUCAAAAGAGCUUUGAGUUAUCCUGCACGACUGAUAGCCAAGAAUGCAGGCGUAAAUGGCAACAUUGUCAUAAACCAGGUCCUUUUAUCUUAGUUCAUUAUUAUUCUUUAGACAUGAAAGUAGAAAUUUAAAAUUUUGGGCUUUGAAUUUUUUCUGAUCAUUAUAACACAAUUUGAUGCAAAAAGUGAAUUUUGGUAGAUUCUAUCAAGUGAUGAUCCAAGAUAUGGAUACAAUGCUGCAAUAGACAGAUAUGAGGAUUUGAUAACCGCAGGAAUUAUAGAUCCAACAAAGGUAUCAUCAGUUAUGUGGCUUAUACAAAAGAGGCACCAAGCUUAUGCAUUGCCUUAUUGAUGAUGAGCAUGGGGGAUAGAUGCUAAUAUGUUGCAGUGACGUAGAACUCUAAAGUGAUCUGGAAUAAUAUAUAUAACGGUCAUUGCCAAAUAUUUAUAUUAUAUUCACAAGUAACAAGUAUCAGUAAUUCAGUGGGUAGAAUACUGAAAACAUUGAUCAAUGAGUGGUUUUGGCUGAAAGGAAAUUAUAUCUUGAACUCGACAGAAUACAGGUAGACAACACCAGUGGUCAAGAAUUAUAAUGUAUUUGAAGUGGAUUAAUUGCAGGAAUGCAGCACAUUUGUUUUCCUGCAAUUAUAGUUCUUCUUUUCUAAUUAUCACUACAAUUUUUCCUAUGAUCAGGCACUGUUUCCGAAAUUGAAUGAACAAAAGUCAUUUCCACUGGAACAAAAAUGCUUGAACAUAAUUUGAUAUCAAAAUGCUCAUUAUACUCCGUCAAAAUUUGGUGCAGGUAGUUAGAUGUUGUUUGGAGAAUGCUGCAUCGGUGGCCAAAACAUUUCUGACUUCCGAUGCUGUCGUAGUUGACAUUAAGGAACCACAACCGCUGCCAAGAAAACCAAUGUUAGGAAAUCCAGGUGAAUCCACCUCAUUCACACCACAUGCAUAGAUACUUGUAAGAUAAUGUAGGCACAGACAACAGUUCUCAUGCUCUUGUAGCUGCUUAGCUAAACAGUGCCAAACUCUGAUGUUCAAUGAUUCAGGUAUUGCACCUAUGGGCUUACAGUUAGGGGGCCAGAGCUUGUAAACCUGUUUCAGUUAGAUGAUGACACUGCUUCAAUCAAGUUAUCCAAAAUGGUGAAGGGAAUUUUAGGAAGUGACACAGUAACAAAACAGAAGUGGCAUAACUAGCUAGAUUUUUUUCAGUUUCCACAUCAAAAAGUUGUCAAACACUUGUCAGUAGCCAUAUGAGAUAUAGUCCUUUCACAUCAAGGAGGCAAGGAGCUGUUUUCCCUUAAAAGAACGCCAAGUUACUCCUCAAAUUUGUGUCCUAGACGGAAGAGUAAGGCGCCACGAUAAGGUGGUUUCACAGUUUGGCAGACUUCAGGUGGAAAAUGAUUUGAGACCAAGCGAUAAUGAUCUAACAAGCUUUUGAGUUGCGGUUGAAUAAAUAUUCCAACUAGCUUCAUAUACUGUGAACCUGCUGUAUAAUUAUUUAUGUUGUACAAAGGCUUAUGUGCUUUUCAUUUGGGAAAGUUCAGUUCUGCAUGCUUGUUGCUUGUACCUCUUUGCACAAUUGUAGACGACUUCUCCUUCAAUGCAAAUAAACUAUGAGAAGCGGAAAAAAAAUUACAAAUUUGGACGAACUCAAGGCAAAUGCCUGUCAUAGAAUGAUCUUGUCUCACAUUGUUAUGCAAAAAGAAUUGCAGGACCAUGUUAUAUAUUUC
RNAcentral lists this unclassified non-coding RNA (3310 nucleotides) under Hevea brasiliensis (rubber tree). The record is from RNAcentral. Lineage: Eukaryota; Viridiplantae; Streptophyta; Magnoliopsida; Malpighiales; Euphorbiaceae.